This 1525-nucleotide long non-coding RNA is filed under the name Homo sapiens (human). RNAcentral's name for it is "HSALNT0309605". Lineage: Eukaryota; Metazoa; Chordata; Mammalia; Primates; Hominidae. The record is from RNAcentral.
AAAAAACCCAACCCGGUGAAAAGAAACUACACUCUAUGAGGAAGACACCAUCACCAUGGGUGCAAGCAGGAAGAAUGCUAAAACCAUCACUGUCUUGCCCUCCAGAGCUCGGAUCUCUGGCUUUCCUGACCUUCCCCUGGGGAAGCUGAGGGGCCUGCUGGUCACAGGACCCCUGGUGACCAUGUUCAGGUCUGGCCAGAAAGAAGAUGGGCAUGGAAACUGGGGCAGUGUCAAGCGGAAGCUACUUCGUCCAGGAGGGAUGAAAGGGACAGAGGCUGCUUCUCUUGGAGAAAAGAAGACUUGAGGCUGCCCACUGCCCACCACACUAUGGCCAAUGAAUUCUCGCCAGGUGGAAUGGACUCUAGCCAGCUUGGAGAAGCCUGUGUGCAAAGCCAUUCUCAACUUCCCAAGGUACCUCCAUCGCCCCCACCCCGAGUGUUUCUGGGUUGCCUAAACAUUUUGAAUGCUCGUGGCAUCAAACCCUGGUCCCGCCUUGUCCCCACUGCCUGAUACACAACACCUGCGGAUGCCACUCUGUGUUUUUGGUGAUUGACAGCCUGCAGAGUGUGUUUCCACACCUGACUGACACACAGUGCCCGGGGCCUCCACAGCCUGAUGCCCUCCCUGUGUGGGGUGCUCCCUGUCGUCACUGGACAGGUGGAGUGGGACAUGUAUCCCGGGUCCUGGAGAAGCCUGGCUCUCUUGUUGCCUUCCUCCUGGGAGUCCCCUUCCCACGGCAGCCUCUGACACAGCUGGACCCGGCUACAUGGCCCACCCUGGUCUAGGGGCCUUUCUUUUGUGUUCUUUUUUCUCCUUCUUUCUUUGCAGGUGCAUGUGUCUGAAUUCCGAGAAGUUUCCUAUGUGUCGGGGUCUAGGCUCCCUCCCCACCCUGGGCCCCUCCCGGGUGUCUGGUUUGACGUGGCCUCCCAGGACUGACACCGAUGUUCCAGGCAGGGGAAACAAUGGCAGAGGCCUCGUUGGCCGUACAGACGCCGGCAUCCCCACCCACAGUGGGUUUUGAUGGACUCUGGGCGCUAGUGAGGUGUCUGUCUGUGUUCCUCACUGUAGCACAUGGAACCGAAAACUGCUCUGAAAAAUAGUCUAUGUAAAAAAGAAAAGGUUCUGCAGCCUAUGUGCAUGUCGCUCCUCAGCCUGCAGCUGCGUCCGCACGCAGUGGAAGCAGCAAUGUCUUUGUCUGGGUUAUUAAUCAGGAAGAGAAGUCUUCUUCUAUGAGCUACAGAAACAUACCUUUUAUGAACUACAGAAAUUGGCCAGGCACCUCUGCUGACACCUGGACUAGCUGUCUACACCACCACACACCACAUCUGGGCAAGAGCCCUUGGUGUGCUGCCAUAAGGCUGCUGGCUGUGAGCCCACAGAGGAGCCGGGUGGAUGGUACUGGGGCACAAGAGCAUCGAGGGUCCCUUUUGUCCAGAUGCUGCAGACCACUGUGGGCCACGUGUCCUACAGCUGACACUGCCUCGGCCCCGUUCUCCCAGGUCCUCACUCUAACUCAGCCCUCAGG